This 253-nucleotide ribosomal RNA is filed under the name uncultured bacterium. RNAcentral's name for it is "partial 16S ribosomal RNA". It matches the Rfam family "Bacterial small subunit ribosomal RNA", at positions 524 to 776 of the family's 1533-position model. The record is from RNAcentral.
UACGUAGGUGGCAAGCGUUGUCCGGAUUUACUGGGCGUAAAGGAUGCGUAGGCGGCCAUUUAAGUCAGAUGUGAAAUACCCGAGCUUAACUUGGGUGCUGCAUUUGAAACUGGGUGUCUAGAGUGCAGGAGAGGUAAGUGGAAUUCCUGGUGUAGCGGUGAAAUGCGCAGAUAUCAGGAAGAACACCAAUGGCGAAGGCAGCUCUCUGGGACGGUACUGACGCUGAGACGCGAAAGCGUGGGGAGCGAACAGG